CCUACGGAGGCAGCAGUAGGGAAUUUUCCGCAAUGGGCGAAAGCCUGACGGAGCAAUACCGCGUGAGGGAUGACUGCCUAUGGGUUGUAAACCUCUUUUUUCAGGGAGGAAUAAAUGACGUGUACCUGAAGAAUAAGCAUCGGCUAACUCCGUGCCAGCAGCCGCGGUAAGACGGAGGAUGCAAGUGUUAUCCGGAAUCACUGGGCGUAAAGCGUCUGUAGGUGGCUCAACAAGUCAACUGUUAAAUCUUGAAGCUCAACUUCAAAAUCGCAGUCGAAACUAUUGAACUAGAGUAUAGUAGAGGUAAAGGGAAUUUCCAGUGGAGCGGUGAAAUGCGUAGAGAUUGGAAAGAACACCAAUGGCGAAGGCACUUUACUGGGCUAUUACUGACACUCAGAGACGAAAGCUAGGGUAGCAAAUGGGAUUAGAUACCCCAGUAGUCCUAGCCGUAAACAAUGGAUACUAGGUGUUGAACAGAUCGACCUGUGCAGUACUAAGACUACGUACGUAAGUAUACCGCCGUCGGUAGUAGUGCGACGCGAGAGUGAACGUAACGUAAAGAAGUUAGUUACGGUCGUUGAGACGUUGCCGACGGACGACGACGAGGGAGGAGG
Molecule: ribosomal RNA, 614 nt
Filed under: uncultured bacterium
Lineage: Bacteria
Description: bacterial SSU rRNA
Rfam family: Bacterial small subunit ribosomal RNA (bases 1-521)
Source: RNAcentral